GACAGAGGGUGCAAACGUUGUUCGGAAUUACUGGGCGUAAAGCGCGUGUAGGCGGCUCGGAAAGUCGGAUGUGAAAGCCCAGGGCUCAACCCUGGAAGUGCACUCGAAACUCCCGAGCUGGAGUCCCGGAGAGGAAGGCGGAAUUCUCGGUGUAGAGGUGAAAUUCGUAGAUAUCGAGAGGAACACCUGUGGCGAAGGCGGCCUCUGGACGGUGACUGACGCUGAGACGCGAAAGCGUGGGGAGCAAACAGG
Molecule: ribosomal RNA, 252 nt
Filed under: uncultured bacterium
Lineage: Bacteria
Description: partial 16S ribosomal RNA
Rfam family: Bacterial small subunit ribosomal RNA
Source: RNAcentral